GACGAACGCUGGCGGCGUGCUUAACACAUGCAAGUCGAACGGAGUGGCGAACGGGUGAGUAACACGUGGGUGACCUGCCCUGCACUUCGGGAUAAGCCUGGGAAACUGGGUCUAAUACCGGAUAGUGUGGGAUGGGCGCGCGGCCUAUCAGCUGGUUGGUGGGGUAAUGGCCUACCAAGGAGGCGACGGGUAGCCGGCCCGAGAGGGUGGACGGCCACGUAGGGCCUGAGACACGGCCCAGACUCCGACGGGAGGCAGCAGUGGGGAAUAUUGCGCAAUGGUCGGAAGCAUGAUGCAGCGACGCCGGGUGGGGGACGACGGCUUUCGGGUUGUAAACUCCUUUCACCAUCGACGCGGUAGAUGGAGAAGAAGCCCCGGAUAACUACGUGCCAGCAGCCGCGGUAAUAC
This 408-nucleotide ribosomal RNA is filed under the name uncultured bacterium. RNAcentral's name for it is "partial 16S ribosomal RNA". It matches the Rfam family "Bacterial small subunit ribosomal RNA", at positions 28 to 526 of the family's 1533-position model. The record is from RNAcentral.